This 253-nucleotide ribosomal RNA is filed under the name uncultured bacterium. RNAcentral describes it as "partial 16S ribosomal RNA". It matches the Rfam family "Bacterial small subunit ribosomal RNA", at positions 524 to 776 of the family's 1533-position model. The record is from RNAcentral.
UACGGGGGGGGCAAGCGUUGUUCGGAAUUACUGGGCGUAAAGGGCUUGUAGGUGGCCAACUAAGUCAGACGUGAGAUCCCUCGGCUUAACCGGGGAACUGCGUCUGAUACUGGAUGGCUAGAGUUUGGGAGAGGGAUGCGGAAUUCCAGGUGUAGCGGUGAAAUGCGUAGAUAUCUGGAGGAACACCGGUGGCGAAAGCGCUCUGCUAGGCCGCAACUGACACUGAGGGACGAAAGCUAGGGGAGCGAAUGGG